UGGGGAAUCUUGCGCAAUGGGCGGAAGCCUGACGCAGCAACGCCGCGUGGGGGAUGACGGCCUUCGGGUUGUAAACCUCUUUCGCGAUCGACGAAGGUCCACUUUCUGUGGGCUGACGGUAGGUCGAGAAGAAGCACCGGCCAACUACGUGCCAGCAGCCGCGGUAAUACGUAGGGUGCGAGCGUUGUCCGGAAUUAUUGGGCGUAAAGAGCUCGUAGGCGGUGUGUCGCGUCGGCCGUGAAAACCUGGGGCUCAACUCUGGGCGUGCGGUCGAUACGGGCAUCACUUGAGUUCGGCAGGGGAGACUGGAAUUCCUGGUGUAGCGGUGAAAUGCGCAGAUAUCAGGAGGAACACCGGUGGCGAAGGCGGGUCUCUGGGCCGAUACUGACGCUGAGGAGCGAAAGCAUGGGUAGCGAACAGG
RNAcentral lists this ribosomal RNA (421 nucleotides) under uncultured bacterium. Its description in RNAcentral is "bacterial SSU rRNA". It matches the Rfam family "Bacterial small subunit ribosomal RNA", at positions 355 to 776 of the family's 1533-position model. The record is from RNAcentral.